This 808-nucleotide unclassified non-coding RNA is filed under the name Bombus terrestris (buff-tailed bumblebee). Its description in RNAcentral is "misc RNA ENSBTSG00005035089.1". The record is from RNAcentral. Lineage: Eukaryota; Metazoa; Arthropoda; Insecta; Hymenoptera; Apidae.
GUGUCACAAACAUAAUACGAAACACGCAGUGGCUGGCUGGCUGUUGCAUAAAUUUUCGGACGAUUCAUUGCAACCCACGGAAAAUGGACAAAGCUUUGCUUCACUUAACGAGAUGUGGCUAAUUGAGAGAAGAAAUUUGAGGAGAAGUUUACUGAAUUCUAGAAUCUGCAGUGCUUGAUUCUUUCAGUUAUAAAUUACUACAUCGUAAGGAUGCGAUCGAAUUAAAUUAAAGCGAACGAUGAAGAACAAGAUGACACGAUUUUGUACUUGAGGAGGCUCCGCUCAUGGUCGUCGCGUAGCGCGUUUCAAGGCCGAGGAUAACUACGCAGAACGAAAGAGCGAAAGUCAGGGUCCUGGUGACAAGGUGCCACCACCCGACAAUAAUUCACAAUGAUCGUAUCGAACGAAACACGUACUCGAUAUCAAACGGUCGAUUUGACUUGUUUCCAGGGUGCAGCGAAAUAGAACAGAACCGCCUUAUCUUCCGCAUAAAUUUCCUUUAUCAACUAGGCGUUCUCCUAGCGUUGAAACAGAAAUAUUAUUGCUUAAGGUUCUCAAAUAUGUAUAUACAAAAUGCAAGAUAUAUGGAAAUAUUCGAGGGAAAAGUCUCUAAACAUCAUUGCUUUGAUUAUAAAAAUAAUAUAUUAUAAAAUGAUAUGAAAUAUUUUUUUCACUCACCGAAACGAUUGCUCGUCGAUACUGUUUCCGGCUCUGAAACACGAACAAAAAGAACUUUUAUAAACAUAUUUUAAAUGGAAAAUAAAUUGUUCACAAAUUAAAAAUACACACGAACCUUAAUAAAAUAUUC